AGUUUGAUCCUGGCUCAAGAGGACCUCUUGCGGCGUGCUUAACACAUGCAAGUCAAACGGAAAAUAUUUCAUUGAGACUUCGGUGGAUUUGAUCUAUUUCUAGAGGCGGACGGGUGAGUAACGCGUGGGCAACCUGCCUUAUACAGGGGGAUAACAGUCAGAAAUGGCUGCUAAUACCGCAUAACCGCACAGAGCUGCGUGGCUCAGUGUGAAAAACUCUGGUGGUAUAAGAUGGACCCGCGUUGGAUUAGCUAGUUGGUGAGGUAACGGCCUACCAAGGCAACAAUCCAUAGCCGGCCUGAGAGGGUGAAACGGCCACAUUGGGACUGAGACACGGCCCAGACUCCUACGGGAGGCAGCAGUGGGGAAUAUUGCACAAUGGGGGAAACCCUGAUGCAGCGACGCCGCGUGAAAGAAGAAGUAUCACGGUAUGUAAACUUCUAUCAGCAGGGAAGAUAGUGACGGUACCUGACUAAGAAGCCCCGGCUAACUACGUGCCAGCAGCCGCGGUAAUACGUAGGGGGCAAGCGUUAUCCGGAUUUACUGGGUGUAAAGGGAGCGUAGACGGUGUGGCAAGUCUGAUGUGAAAGGCAUGGGCUCAACCUGUGGACUGCAUUGGAAACUGUCAUACUUGAGUGCCGGAGGGGUAAGCGGAAUUCCUAGUGUAGCGGUGAAAUGCGUAGAUAUUAGGAGGAACACCAGUGGCGAAGGCGGCUUACUGGACGGUAACUGACGUUGAGGCUCGAAAGCGUGGGGAGCAAAC
This 763-nucleotide ribosomal RNA is filed under the name uncultured bacterium. RNAcentral describes it as "bacterial SSU rRNA". It matches the Rfam family "Bacterial small subunit ribosomal RNA", at positions 10 to 773 of the family's 1533-position model. The record is from RNAcentral.